Molecule: ribosomal RNA, 468 nt
Filed under: uncultured bacterium
Lineage: Bacteria
Description: partial 16S ribosomal RNA
Rfam family: Bacterial small subunit ribosomal RNA
Source: RNAcentral
GACGAACGCUGGCGGCGUGCUUAACACAUGCAAGUCGAACGGAAAGGCACUGCUUUUGUGGGGUGCUCGAGUGGCGAACGGGUGAGUAACACGUGAGUAACCUGCCCUUGACUUUGGGAUAACUUCAGGAAACUGGGGCUAAUACCGGAUAGGAGCUCAUGCUGCAUGGUGGGGGUUGGAAAGUUUCGGCGGUUGGGGAUGGACUCGCGGCUUAUCAGCUUGUUGGUGGGGUAGUGGCUUACCAAGGCUUUGACGGGUAGCCGGCCUGGGAGGGUGACCGGCCACAUUGGGACUGAGAUACGGCCCAGACUCCUACGGGAGGCAGCAGUGGGGAAUAUUGCACAAUGGGCGGAAGCCUGAUGCAGCAACGCCGCGUGCGGAAUGACGGCCUUCGGGUUAUAAACCGCUUUCGCCUGUGACGAAGCGUGAGUGACGGUAAUGGGUAAAGAAGCACCGGCUAACUACGUG